GCUCCCUUAGCCCAACCGGUAGAGGCAUCAGACUUAAACCCUGUGCAGUGAAAGUUCGAAUCUUUCAGGGAGUA
RNAcentral lists this transfer RNA (74 nucleotides) under Crassvirales sp. RNAcentral describes it as "tRNA-Leu". It matches the Rfam family "tRNA". From Rfam's summary of the family: Transfer RNA (tRNA) molecules are approximately 80 nucleotides in length. Their secondary structure includes four short double-helical elements and three loops (D, anti-codon, and T loops). Lineage: Duplodnaviria; Heunggongvirae; Uroviricota; Caudoviricetes; Crassvirales. The record is from RNAcentral.